NCUGAUAGCAAGUAUUACUGUACU
RNAcentral lists this transfer RNA (24 nucleotides) under Goggia essexi. Its description in RNAcentral is "partial tRNA-Tyr". Lineage: Eukaryota; Metazoa; Chordata; Lepidosauria; Squamata; Gekkonidae. The record is from RNAcentral.